RNAcentral lists this unclassified non-coding RNA (3582 nucleotides) under Limulus polyphemus (Atlantic horseshoe crab). RNAcentral describes it as "protein ABHD15-like, transcript variant X1". Lineage: Eukaryota; Metazoa; Arthropoda; Merostomata; Xiphosura; Limulidae. The record is from RNAcentral.
UUGUUGUCGGUAGCCCCAGUAUGGACUGAAAACUAUGUUUUUCGUUUGCGCCAAGUUUUCAUCAAGUUUAAAAACAGAUUUAUCUCAAAUUAGUCUUAAUUUAUCUUUGUACUAAGAAACAAAUAAACAAUCGGUACAGUAUUAAUGAUUUUUUCUCUAGAAGAUCGCCAACCCUAAAGAUGAAAAAAGAAUGCUCAGUUUGGUUGGCACGCUUCAGUAAAGAGAUCUUCAGACUCUCCGACAUUUCCCUCACGUCAGCAAAGGGUUUGGAAGAAGCAGCACUUGGAUGCUGUCAUGUCCAAGAGCUUUAUCUUUGAUUCAUUCUCUGCUGAGAUGAGCCUAAUUGUUACAGUCAUGGUCUAUUGGCUUCUUUUCGUUUCCAUACCGACCUGGAUAGUGGUUGCCCUGGUAACAGUCUUAUUCUUCUCAGCUUUUAUAGAGAUGUUACGACCCUGCGGUGCAGCCCCAACAAUGUAUUAUAAAGAUUCCGCUUUCUCACGUUUCCUGUUGAAGAAUAUCCCUCGGUUAAGCAUUCCUUAUAAGCCGCCAUGUUGGGCUAAAAAUCCAAAUAUUCAAACGCUCGUGAAAACUUAUAUUAUCGAUCAGGGCGAGACCAGAUUCGAGCGUCAUUUUCUCCAGCUGAAGGACCGCGGAGUGGUAGCCUUAGAUUGGGCAUUAGCGCAAGGGUCAACCUCCAUAAUGAGGAAAUCUCGUCCAGUGGUCAUUUUGUUGCCAGACUUGAUGACGGAUGCCCGAAAUCUUAUGUACACGUGCCAAAAAUCCUUACAACAAGGAUUUCGACCAAUGGUUUUUAAUCGUCGGGGUCACGGCAACAGCCCAUUGACCACUCCCAAACUGCAAUCCUAUGGUGAUCCCUCCGACUUACGUCAAGUGGUCAAGUACAUUCGGAGCAAACUUCCGAACGCCCGUGUGACAGCUAUCGGAUAUGGUGCUGGCGCCGACCUUCUUUUGGCUUACCUGGGAGAGUUUGGUUCUUCAGCGUACCUAGCGGCCGGAGUAGCUGUCUCGCCUCUGUUUGAUCCCGAGCGUCUUUACACAGGAUCCAUGCCGCAACCGUAUGAGGUUCUUGGUCUCUUAGCUAGUAAGCGGCUGGUGGCUUCUCACGGAGAAGGACUAAAAAAGACGGUUGACGUUCAGCAAGCUUUGAGCUGCCAUAAAUUAGCAGACUUAGAACGACACGUCUACUGGAAGAUGGCUGGCUGCGAUAAUUCUGAGCAAUACUGGGAGAAGAACGCCCCCUUGCGUGAUGCUGACGAUAUCUCCACACCAGUUUUGUGCAUCACCAGUCAUGAUGACCCUUUGGUAGUGGAUGAGGCGAUCCCGUAUGACGUGUUCCAAGUCUAUCCUCAAAUGUUAUUAGUCACUACGAAUUACGGUGGUCAUUGUGGGUUUUUGGAAUGGGGUCCAGACGGUCUGCGCUCCUGGGCUGAUUUAAUAGCAUUGGAUUUCGUAGAGUCUGUCUUGGAGUUCUCUUCAAAAGAGGAACGUAGACUGAAAUCAGCGACGAGAUAGAACUCAACAGUCGACCUUUGGCUUCUACUUGUCUUCAAUGCUAAGAAUGAAAUCUUGUGGACUUCACUAAAAAUCUCAACCAGUCGCAGUUUAAAGAACCACAUCUGUGAUGUUUAAAAAAGAUGUAUUACUUUCUCAUUGUGAAGUUAGUGUUAAGUGUACAAUUUGAGCUUAAGUUCAAUAGUUAUCAUACACUUAUAUGUCCAUCGACCUAUCAGGUGACCUCAACUAAUCACUUACACUUUACAGUAUGUGUAGUCAAUGUUUGGAAUUAUUAUGAGUUAUAUAUUUACAGAAUGUGCGGUUUGUGUCUGGUGUUAUUAUGAGUUAUGUAUUUACAGAAGGUGUGGUCAGUGUCUGGGGUUAUUACGAGUUAUGUAUUCACAGAAGAUGUGGUCAGUGUCUGAUGUUAUUAUAAGUCAUGUAUUUACAGAAGGUGUGCUCAGUGUCUGGGAUUAUUAUUAUUGCUGGGAAAUACUAUACUUUUCAGUGAACGCGAUCAAUACUUUGGUAUAAAGCAAGAUAACAUCAAGAUUUUUCCAGAACUGACAGGCUUCAAAGUUUUCAAGAUUGCAGGCGUUUAGGUUGCAUAGCAUUUAAUUGUCAGUUUAAAUAUUCAUUUCUCAAGUCACCGAAGGAAUUUAAUUCUAUGUAGAGUAAUUACUAAAAACAGAUUAUAUUAAAGAACUUGUCUAGAAUCAUUUUAACAUCUACGUCCUUCAUUAUACAAAGUAGAGUAAUUCAAGAUCGCAGACGCUAGUUCCAGGCUGCCAAAACUUUAUUAUCAAAUAAGCAACUAAGACACUGAACUAAUCUGUAUACUUAUGAUAAAAUAUUACCAUCAAUGACGGUAUUUCUUACUUUUUAAUCUGGGGUGUCAUGGUUUGAGAUUCUUCUAACCACGUUUGAACCGGUUCGUAACCGAUUUAUGAGUGUAUGAAGUUCCAGAACUUUCGAUGUUGUGUUGUGGAGCUGAUAAACAGGAUGAAUUAAACCCACGUUUUCCUUUAUGUUUAGUUUUAAUUGUUCACUCGUGUAUUAAAGGGCAAAGGUAUAAUUAAAUCAGUCCUCUAUGUAAGAACAAAAUGGACGACAUUUUAAAAUCAUCAACUCGGAAGUAGAUCAAUGCGCAUGCUCUGUUUCUGUAUUUCCUUGCACCCUUGUGAAGCACCUGUAUUACUACGACAGUAAUCGAAUAUCAACGUACGCAACGCGCGGCGAUAUAACUAAAACUAGCUACAAAUUAAACCAAGAAACAACAGAGGGUAUGAAAGUUUUAAACAGUUUAGAGGCCUCGUAUCGCACCGUAAUUGAGUAAUCGUGACGCCAUAUAAGUAACUUAUCAUAUUAGUUGGAUAGCUUUACAACAGUUUAACAGAAUAUAUAUGUGACGUUGUAGAUUAAAAGAUACACGUAUUUAAAACAAUAAGUCUGCUGAUGUUAGGCUAGUCACGUAUACAGCUGUUUCGGUAUGACGGCAAAGAAUCCAAGUUCCAAGAACAACAUUCUAUCAUUGUUGUAAUAUAACCAGUAUGUCUGCAGUGGCAUUGUAGCAUUGGUGUAAUACCACUAAUAAGUCUGAAGCGACAUUGUAGCAUUGUUGUAAUACCACCAGAUGUCUGAAGUGACACUGUAGCAUUGUUGUAAUACCACUAAUAAAUCUGAAGUGACAUUGUAGCAUUGUUGUAAUACCACUAAUAAAUCUGAAGUGACAUUGUAGCAUUGUUGUAAUACCACUAAUAAGUCUGAAGCGACAUUGUAGCAUUGUUGUAAUACCACUAAUAAGUCUGAAGCGACAUUGUAUCAUUGUUGUAAUAUAACCAGUAUGUCUGCAGUGGCAUUGUAGCAUUGUUGUAAUACCACUAAUAAAUCUGAAGUGGCAUUGUAGCAUUGUUGUAAUACCACUAAUAAAUCUGAAGUGACAUUGUUGCAUUGUUGUAAUACCACUAAUAAAUCUGAAGUGACAUUGUUGCAUUGUUGUAAUACCACCAGUAUGUCUGAAGUGACACUGUAGCAUUGUUGUAAUACCACUAAUAAAUCUGAAGUGAC